AAGAAUCCAUCUGCAUCAGCCACCACAGUUGGUUUUGAUGCUCCAACAGCCAUUAUAGCCCCCUGACCAGGAGGAAGAAUAGCAUCAAACCUGUCCACUCCAAACAUUCCCAAAUUGGAUAGAGUGAAUGUUCCUGAAUUGUACUCAUGAGGCUGAAGUUGCUUUGCUCUGGCUUUCUCCACCAACUCUUUCCACUUUUGUGA
RNAcentral lists this unclassified non-coding RNA (203 nucleotides) under Hevea brasiliensis (rubber tree). Lineage: Eukaryota; Viridiplantae; Streptophyta; Magnoliopsida; Malpighiales; Euphorbiaceae. The record is from RNAcentral.